Molecule: ribosomal RNA, 875 nt
Filed under: unidentified actinomycete RS28
Lineage: Bacteria; Bacillati; Actinomycetota; Actinomycetes; Actinomycetales
Description: bacterial SSU rRNA
Rfam family: Bacterial small subunit ribosomal RNA
Source: RNAcentral
AGGGUGAAGCGUUGUCCGGAAUUAUUGGGCGUAAAGAGCUCGUAGGCGGUUUGUCGCGUCUGCUGUGAAAACCCGAGGCUCAACCUCGGGCCUGCAGUGGGUACGGGCAGACUAGAGUGCGGUAGGGGAGAUUGGAAUUCCUGGUGUAGCGGUGGAAUGCGCAGAUAUCAGGAGGAACACCAAUGGCGAAGGCAGAUCUCUGGGCCGUAACUGACGCUGAGGAGCGAAAGCAUNGGGAGCGAACAGGAUUAGAUACCCUGGUAGUCCAUGCCGUAAACGUUGGGAACUAGAUGUGGGGACCAUUCCACGGUCUCCGUGUCGNAGCUAACGCAUUAAGUUCCCCGCCUGGGGAGUACGGCCGCAAGGCUAAAACUCAAAGGAAUUGACGGGGGCCCGCACAAGCGGCGGAGCAUGCGGAUUAAUUCGAUGCAACGCGAAGAACCUUACCAAGGCUUGACAUAUAGAGGAAACGGCUGGAAACAGUCGCCCCGCAAGGUCUCUAUACAGGUGGUGCAUGGUUGUCGUCAGCUCGUGUCGUGAGAUGUUGGGUUAAGUCCCGCAACGAGCGCAACCCUCCGUCCUAUUGUUUGCCCAGCACGUAAUGGGUGGGAACUUCAAUGGGAUACUUGCCCGGGGUCAACUCGGAGGAAGGUGGGGAUGACGUCAAAUCAUCAUGCCCCUUAUGUCUUGGGCUUCACGCAUGCUACAAUGGCCGGUACAAAGGGCUGCAAUACCGCAAGGUGGAGCGAAUCCCAAAAAGCCGGUCUCAGUUCGGAUUGAGGUCUGCAACUCGACCUCAUGAAGUCGGAGUCGCUAGUAAUCGCAGAUCAGCAACGCUGCGGUGAAUACGUCCCCGGGCCUUGUACACACCGCCC